UAUGGCUAUAUCAUGUUGAAACACCUGUUCUCAUCCAAUCACCAAAAUUAAGCAACAUUGAGCCUGGUCAGUAUCUAGAUGGGUGACUGCUUGGGAAUACCAGAUGUUGUAAG
Non-coding RNA from Acanthosepion pharaonis, 113 nucleotides. NCBI's taxonomy places the organism in Eukaryota, Metazoa, Mollusca, Cephalopoda, Sepiida, Sepiidae. The record is from the annotation of a GenBank genome assembly.